ACCAGACUCCUACGGGAGGCAGCAGUGGGGGAUAUUGCACAAUGGGGGGAACCCUGAUGCAGCGACGCCGCGUGGGUGAAGAAGUAUUUCGGUAUGUAAAGCCCUAUCGGCAGGGAAGAAAUUGGACGGUACCUGACUAAGAAGCCCCGGCUAACUACGUGCCAGCAGCCGCGGUAAUACGUAGGGGGCAAGCGUUAUCCGGAUUCACUGGGUGUAAAGGGAGCGUAGACGGCCAUGCAAGCCUGGAGUGAAAGCCCGGGGCCCAACCCCGGGACUGCUCUGGGAACUGUGCGGCUGGAGUGCGGGAGGGGCAGGCGGAAUUCCUGGUGUAGCGGUGAAAUGCGUAGAUAUUAGGAGGAACACCAGUGGCGAAGGCGGCCUGCUGGGCUUUAACUGACGCUGAGGCUCGAAAGUGUGGGUAGCAAACAGGAUUAGAUACCCUAGUA
RNAcentral lists this ribosomal RNA (446 nucleotides) under uncultured bacterium. RNAcentral's name for it is "bacterial SSU rRNA". It matches the Rfam family "Bacterial small subunit ribosomal RNA", at positions 330 to 792 of the family's 1533-position model. The record is from RNAcentral.